GAUGAACGCUAGCGGCAGGCUUAAUACAUGCAAGUCGAGGGGGAUCAGUUGGGUAGCAAUACCCGGCUGUGAGACCGGCAAACGGGUGCGGAACACGUACGCAACCUUCCCAAAACUGGUGAAUAGCCCUCCGAAAGGAGGAUUAAUACACCGUAACAUAAUGAAGUGGCAUCACUUUAUUAUUAUAGCUCCGGCGGUUUUGGAUGGGCGUGCGCCUGAUUAGGUAGUUGGCGGGGUAACGGCCCACCAAGCCUGCGAUCAGUAACUGGUGUGAGAGCACGACCAGUCACACGGGCACUGAGACACGGGCCCGACUCCUACGGGAGGCAGCAGUAAGGAAUAUUGGUCAAUGGACGAAAGUCUGAACCAGCCAUGCCGCGUGAAGGAUGACGGCCCUCUGGGUUGUAAACUUCUUUUAUCUGGGACGAAAAAAGGUCAUUCUUGAUCACUUGACGGUACCAGAGGAAUAAGCACCGGCUAACUCCGUGCCAGCAGCCGCGGUAAUACGGAGGGUGCAAGCGUUAUCCGGAUUUACUGGGUUUAAAGGGUGCGUAGGUGGGUCUGUAAGUCAGUGGUGAAAUCUCCGAGCUUAACUCGGAAACUGCCAUUGAUACUAUAGGUCUUGAAUUAUCUGGAGGUAA
This 641-nucleotide ribosomal RNA is filed under the name uncultured Terrimonas sp. RNAcentral's name for it is "bacterial SSU rRNA". It matches the Rfam family "Bacterial small subunit ribosomal RNA", at positions 28 to 660 of the family's 1533-position model. The record is from RNAcentral. Lineage: Bacteria; Pseudomonadati; Bacteroidota; Chitinophagia; Chitinophagales; Chitinophagaceae.